This is a non-coding RNA of Phrynosoma platyrhinos (Desert horned lizard), 72 nucleotides long. The record is from the annotation of a GenBank genome assembly. NCBI's taxonomy places the organism in Eukaryota, Metazoa, Chordata, Lepidosauria, Squamata, Phrynosomatidae.
GCCAGUGUGGUGUAGUGGUUUGAGGGUUGGACUAGGAGUCUGGAGAGCAGGGUUCAAAUCCCGGCUCGGGCA